Molecule: long non-coding RNA, 240 nt
Organism: Aplysia californica (California sea hare)
Lineage: Eukaryota; Metazoa; Mollusca; Gastropoda; Aplysiida; Aplysiidae
Exons: 2
Source: RefSeq, a predicted model, not a curated record
CCAGUUGGAAGUACAGCAACAGUGUUCUUGGGACUUUCUCUUCCAAAGACAGCAGACGUGCCCAGAAUGUGGUUCCUGGACGUGGUGUGGCUACAGUGAGUGACACAUCUCCUACACACAGGGAAAUAAAAGGACUAGGUAGAGUGUAAAAGAAAAGCAAGCCCAACAACAAUCCCCCACCAGCUUCCAGCAUUGUGCUCUGUCUGCCGAGACGAGUAAUCAAGACCAACAACUGAUAGA